CAUCCACCACCAGAUAUCUAUUCAUCCACCACCAGAUAUCUAUUCAUCCACCACCAGAUAUCUAUUCAUCCACCACCAGACACCAUGGAGACCAUCCACCACCAGAUAUCUAUUCAUCCACCACCAGAUAUCUAUUCAUCCACCACCAGAUAUCUAUCCAUCCACCACCAGAUAUCUAUUCAUCCACCACCAGAUAUCUAUCCAUCCACCACCAGAUAUCUAUUCAUCCACCACCAGAUAUCUAUUCAUCCACCACCAGAUAUCUAUUCAUCCACCACCAGAUAUCUAUUCAUCCACCACCAGAUAUCUAUUCAUCCACCACCAGAUAUCUAUUCAUCCACCACCAGACAUCAUGGAGACCAUCCACCACCAGAUAUCUAUUCAUCCACCACUGCUAUUUAUUUUCUGCUUCUUUUUUUUUUUUUUCACCUGAUCAACCAGCUGAGCUUCAUAAAGAUGGUUUUAUAAAGAUAUGGUUUAAUAUGUGAGAGCUAUGAUUAGGUUUUAUAAAGAUAUGGUUUAGUAUGUGAGAACUAUGAUUAGGUUUGAUAUUAUGCAUUCAGCUCUGUUCCUAAAAUAAUGGUACUACAUUUUCCUCAAGGUUAAUAUUGUGUCACAAAUGGCACCUAUUUUCCUAUAUAACCACUUAAAGCUGUUUCCCUCUAUAACCACUUAAAGCAGUUUUCAUAUAUAACCACUUAAAGCAGUGCACUAUGUAGAGAAUAGGGUGCCAAUUGGGACGUAACACCAAUGGAGUUGAGGGUUUGAGUGUGGAAUGGCCACAGGUCUCUUCUAUGCUGCUGUCUGCUAUUUUACAUAGAGAUAGAUAUGUAUAUUUAUGUGUUGUUGUAAAUGAUAGUAUACCAUUAUUGACAGACAUAGAGGUAGCAGUAGUGAUACUUGUAUUGAUUUAUGGGAAAUCAUUGAUGACUAGGGAUUUAUAGUUACAAUGUUGGAGCGCACAGGGAAAUGCAAUCAUUUAACCUCUGACCUCUGUAAGGCAUUAUCCUGACUAUCUCAUCAGGUCUUCUGCUUCAGGUUUCUCUUAUGUUUUCGUGGCGAUCAAACCUCUUCAGUCUGAUCUGAUCAUGGACUUCAAGAAAUUAAGGAAAUAUCUUAUGUUCUCCUUGUCUAGUUCUUUUUAAUUAAACACGGCAUGUCACAUCAUAGGCUUGAUAUGUAAUGAUGAUGAUGAUGAUAUGAUUAUUAACCCUUAACUACUAAAUACCUUUUUUAUGUUUCACAAUUUGUUUUAGGAUUCCAAUGAUUUUUCUUGGUUUAUUUAUUUUGUGAUAAUUCUUCUGUAUUAAAUCAGUUUUAAACCUGACUUUUCCAUCUGGAUGAAUAUGAUAUGGUAUAAGAUAUAUACACUGCGGCCAGUUUAUUAGGUACACCCAUCUAGUACAGGGUCGGACUCCCCUUAGCCACCAGAAAAGCCUGAAUUCUUCGGGGCAUGGAUUCUACAAGGUGUGGCUUUCAAAUGUUGCUCAAUCGGUAUCAAGGGACAUAACGUGUGCCAGGAAAACAUUCCUCACACCAAUACACCACCAGCCUUGACACCAGGUAGGAUGGGUCCAUGGACUGACUCUGACUCCUGACUCUGCAGGAUUUGGCGGAUUUGGCGGAUUCUGCAGGAUUUGUUCCCUGGGCCUGAUAGCCCAGGGAACACUCAAAGGGCAAGAGACCCUUGGCAGAGCAAAGAAGAGUGUUGCGGGCAUAUUCGACCUACACUAGUUGCUGGCUCCAGGUGGUUGGGUUGGCGGAGAUCAGGCAGCAAAAAGUUUCCAAGUCUUGGUUGGCUCACGCCAUCUGGCCGUUGGACUAGGGGUGGAACCCGGAGGACAGGCUGGACAACGACCGAAUGACUGUGCAGAACACCUUCCAGAACCGGGACCAGAACUGAGGAUCCCGGUCGGAGACCAUGUCUACUGAGAGUCCAUGGAUCCGGAAGACGAACUGCUCCAUGAGCUUGGCCGUCUCUUUGGCAGAGGGUAGCUUGAGGAGAGGAAUGAAGUGAGCGGCUUUGGAAAACCGAUCCUGUCAGGAUGGCGGUGUUGACAUCAAAUGGGGGGAGAACCAUGACAAAGUCCAGGGUUUUGUGAUACCAGGGACGGUGAAGGACAAGCAGAGGUUGAAGGACAUCAGUCGGAGUUUGUCAAGGAGUUUGUUCUGCACACAGACGAACACGGAGACGUCAAGAAUCAUGGUAGGCCACCAAAAGCAUUGUCGCACAAAGGCCAGGGUCCGACAAGAGCUCGGGUGGCAGGCAAGCCUGGAGGAGUGGGCCCACUCCAGGACCAAGGAGCGGACCGCGUCAGGAACAAACAUCCGGUCAUCUGGGCUCCCCCUUGGGUUCGGCUGGGAACGCUGCACCUCACAAACCUGCUUUCCUAUCCCCCAGCUGAGUGCCAUCGCCAGGCACGAGGUGGGAAGGAUGGUCUUAGGUUUCGGUGUUGUAGUCGUGGGGCUAUAGCGGCGCAACAGCACAUCCGGCUUGACAUUCUAGGAUCCCGGUCGAUAUGGGAGAGAGAAGCUGAAACGGGUGAAAGGACCCAUCUAGCUUGCCUGGAAUUGAAACGCUUGGCAGUGUGGAGACGUUCCAGGUUCUUGUGGUCGGUCCACACAAUGAACAGAUGUUCUGCCCCCCUCCAGCCAGUGCCUCCACUCCUCCAAUACCAUCUUCACUGCGAAAAGCUCACUAUUCCCCACAUCGUAGUUCCUCUCCGUGGCAUUGAGGCGAUGGGAGAAGAAGACUCAGGGAUGUAACUUGAGGUCCAGGGCAGAAAGCUGGGACAGGACAGCCACCACUCCGCACCCUGGACGUAGGCUGGGGCCAAUCCACCACCACUCUCACCUUCCUGGGAUCCAUCUGUACACUGCCUGCAGCGAUGAUUUAACCCAGGAAGGGGAUGGUGGAGCGAUGGAAUUCGCACAUCUUUUCACAAAAAGCUGGUUCUCCAGGAGGCGUUGAAGAACCUGUCGGACGUGGAGAAUUUGUUCUUGGGCGGAGCGGGAGAAGACAAGGAUGUUGUCGAGGUAGACGAAGACGAACCGGUUCAACAUGUCGUGGAGAACAUCAUUAACCAGAGCCUAGAACACAGCAGGGGCGUUGGUAAGCCCAAAUUGCAUGACCUGAUACUCGUAGUGACCGCUGGCUGUGUUGAAGACAGUCUUCCACUCAUCCCUUUCCCGUAUCCACACCAGGUGGAAGGCGUUCCAUAGGUCCAGCUUGGAGAACACGGUGGCCCCCUGAAGUGAUUCGAAGGCCGAGGAGAUGAAUUGUAGCGGGUAGCGGUUCUUCACGUGAUGUCAUUGAGACCCUGGUAGUCGAUGCACGGGUGCAGGGUUUUGUCCUUCUCCAUAAAGAAGAACGGGGGAGGCAGAAGGACAGAUGAACUCUGCAGCUAAGGAGUCCUCAAUGUAGGUCUCCAUAGCCUUCGUCUCUGGACCCGAUCGAGAGUACAGUCGUACCUGGGGCGGAGUGGUGCCUGGGGGAAGGUCAAUCCCGCAGUCAUAGGGUCGGUGCGGCGGAAGCGAAGUGGCCAGGGCCUUACUGAACACCUCCCGGAGGUCCUGGUACUCCGCGGGAAUGGUGGAGAGGUCCGGGUCAACUUCCGAGCCCCCAGGAAGACCUCCCGGGGUAGGCUGCGCUGACUUGAGGCACUGAGCGUGGCAGAAUGGGCUUCAACCAAUGAUGGUACCAGCAGGGGAUUGUGUUGCUGGGAGCCAAGAGAAUCCCAAUACCACGGAACCCGAGGAGACUUAAUGAGUAGGUAUUGGAUCGCCUCGCUGUGGUUCCCUGACACUCGUAGAUUAAUGGUGGCGGUAUUGUGGGUGACCCGGCCCGACUUCUGGGAUGCCUCGGAAGCGAGGUGGAAUCCUUGGGCGAUGAGCGUCAGUAGUUCCCGGGCUGCAAGCUCGUCCUUAACUUCCGUCCGAUACUCGGUGCAGGAACAUGUCGAACAACGCUUUUGGGUUCCAGGCACUCUCAGCUGCCAACCAGCUGGCAACAGACAAACAGAGAACACAGGUAUAAAUACACUGGGUAUAAUUGGGAGGAUGGGCGACACCUGGAGGGGGGUGGAGAUAAGCACAAAGACAGGUGAAACAGAUCAAGGUGUGACAGAUUAAUGUAUAUGUGACAAAUAUUAAAAGGCAUAUAUGAUAUUGUAUAAGGUAUGAUAUGGUAAAAGGUAUAUAUGGUAUAAGGUAUAUAUGAUAUUGUAUAAGGUAUGAUAUGGUAAAAGGUAUAUAUGGUAUAAGGUAGAUAUGGUAUAAGGUAUAUAUGGUAUAAGGUAGAUAUGGUAAAAGGUAUAUAUGAUAUAAGGUAUAUAUGGUAAAAGGUAUAUAUGGUAUAAGGUAGAUAUGGUAUAAGGUAUAUAUGGUAUAAGGUAGAUAUGGUAAAAGGUAUAUAUGAUAUUGUAUAAGACAUGUAAGAUAUGGUAUAAGCUGUAUAUGAUAUGGUAUAAAGUAUAUAUGGUGUAUGAUAUGGUAUAAGUUAUAUAUGGUAUAAAGUAUAUAUGGUGUAUGAUAUGGUAUAAGUUAUAUAUGGUAUAAAGUAGAUAUGGUAUAAGGCAUGAUUAUGGUAUAAGUUAUAUAAGGUAUAACGUACGAUAUCCUAUAAGCUAUUGCGAGGCUGUGGAUCAUUAAGCCAGGGAGUGCUUGGAGAUAAAGGAGGAAGCAGCCUGCACAAAGGGGCAGAGUAAGAAGAGAAAAACGUGCUUUAUGAAGAGUGGGAUAAGAGAGAACAAUAUCUGAGACCCGGACUGUCGUAUUACACCCCUUGUGUACCGAACCGGAUUGGCUGAGGACACGAGUUUUAGGAUUACCCCUGGAGAAUGGAACGGACAACGAGAACGGCUUGCGGACUGUGAAGUAACUGGUGAAUUCCCCUCUCUUCCCCAGUGUACCAAAUUCCCAAAUAAACUCCCCAUUUGCAUUCUAGUUGUGCUACUGGUGCAUGUGUUGUUAUUGAACUUGGUGACAUGGAAAUCCCACACCCUUGAGCCUUCUAUACUAUAUAUGAUGGGC
This 5031-nucleotide long non-coding RNA is filed under the name Salmo salar (Atlantic salmon). RNAcentral's name for it is "lncRNA (ENSSSAG00000108303.1, ENSSSAG00000121696.1)". Lineage: Eukaryota; Metazoa; Chordata; Actinopteri; Salmoniformes; Salmonidae. The record is from RNAcentral.